Molecule: long non-coding RNA, 1877 nt
Organism: Octopus sinensis (East Asian common octopus)
Lineage: Eukaryota; Metazoa; Mollusca; Cephalopoda; Octopoda; Octopodidae
Exons: 2
Source: RefSeq, a predicted model, not a curated record
AGAGAUCAGCUACACAUCUCCAAAAUAAUGACUAUGAGACCGAGAGUGUCCAGGAUGCUGGAAUUUCCAGAACCACUGGAUGAGUAGAACAUGAUUUUUCAAUCUGCAAUGCAAUACAAGACACAAAGAAGAAUAAAAGGGAUUUGAACGUUGUAUGACCUGAUCUUGUUGAUGCUUAUGGUUCUGUACCACACAAAUUAGUGAUGGAACCAAUGAACUUCUUUUAUAUAUGAGAGAAGAUUAGAGAUCUGGCUAGAAACUGCUGUAAUAAUUUCAAAAUGUGGUUCCUGACAGAAAAUUUCACAACAGACAUCGUUUUGAAACUGUAAUUGCUGUAGGUUACACAAUAUCAGUCAUUUGGUUUGUACUUGUUAUGGAGAUGUUACUUAGAUCAGCAGAUUGAUCAGAAGAAUUGGCUUGAGUGAAAUCACCCAAGAAGGAAUUUAAAGGAUGAUAUAACAAUACUAACAAGAGACCAAAAGGGUAUGCAAAUAGUUCUGGAUGGACUGGAUUAACUAAUUCUUUGGUCAAGAAUGGGGUUAAACCAAAUAAUUAAUGCUGUCAUUUGUCAAAAGGUUAGUUGAAGCAAGUGAAGUUCAAAACAGCAUACAAAACCAUGCAAGGGAUUAAAGAGAAACCUCUAAAAUCUUUUGGACGAUGGUAUGCUACCUCAUUGUCCAGUAAGAGUAGAGGUAUAGAGGUCAUGGCACAAACUGAAGAUGGGUUAAAGGCAAUAGCUAAGACAACAUUUCCUAGCAAAUAAAAGAUUUGAUGCUUCCAGUUUGAUCUGUAUCCCUGCCUUGCUUAUAAAAUCCUUGAGUAUCAGUUUUUAUGCAACAUUUCAGAUUUUUUUACUGCUAUUAUUUAUGGAUGAACAAUUAUAUAUAGUUAAUAAGAUUUUGUGAGAGCAUAAAGUGUUUUUGGAUACCUGAUAUGUUUUUGCUCCCCUCUGUAGAAUUAAUCAUUGCCCACCUGGAAAGAAAUGUGCUUCAUUAAGAAGUCUUCUAACAUCUCAAAUACAUGUGGCACAUAUAUAAGAAACAAAAAAUGAAAACUAAAAGAAAAACAGUGUUAUCAAGUGAUAAUUAAAUGAGAUAAUUGUAACAUUGUUAGAUUAUUUAAGAUGUCUUAAUAGAGAAAGGAAAUUGAGGAAGGUUAGUCUAUUUUGUUGUAGACCUAAGUAUUGAGCUAUUUACCUGUUGACCAAAAACAUAGUGGUCACCCGAUGACCAGCGAUGAUGAUAGGUAUGUCCCACUAUAUAAUAAAAUAUAGAUUAUUAAUAAAGAAUUUUUACUCUCAAGUAUAACAGUUGCAAAUAUUUAUUUCAGAAACUCCAAAGUUAGAGGAGAAGUGUCUCCAAGAUGUUGCAAAAUUGUUAGGAGUCAACUGGCAGCAAGUUGGCAGGAAUUUAGGAAUCAAAAAUGUUGAUCUGGGGAUUAUCAGGACUGACUAUCCUCAUAACACUAAAGAGCAGAGCUUCCAGAUGCUGCACACAUGGUACACAAGUUGUGAUCCAGAGAUGCGAACAUUCAAAACACUCAGAAAAGCUCUUGAGGAAGCUGAAUGCUUUGAGGCACUUCAAUGUCUACCAUCAGAAGAAAAGUGAACUUGUGUGUAAAUGCUGCAAUUGUUUAGUCCAAGGUCAACCUUGACUAAACAGAGACUCAUGAUCAAAUGCCUUCCAGCCAGGACCCUCCUGACUUUAUCCUUAGUGUAGGGAACCCAACAUUACAUUGUCCAAUGUGAUAAUUGAAUUGAGCAGGAUUUGGCUACUAAUUCUAGCAAAUCUAUCAACAACAUAAGAGAUUCCCUUCCUGAAUUGGUCCCUUUCUUCUUAGAAAUUAACUUUUGAAAUAAAGAUAAACUUUGAAACGUU